Non-coding RNA from Pelobates cultripes (western spadefoot toad), 211 nucleotides. Lineage: Eukaryota; Metazoa; Chordata; Amphibia; Anura; Pelobatidae. The record is from the annotation of a GenBank genome assembly.
AUUUACUUGAAAGAUGAAAACAUAAAUUAGAGAGAGAUUAGCCUAGGGUAUGUGUUUUCUUAUAGCUGCUGUUUUCUUUCUCUCCAGCACCAUCUCCAUCAGAUACAUGACGCUUGGGAGUGUUUUACUGUUUUUGGUCGAAAUGAUUCUGUAAUUAGGCCCGUCAUAAUUGUCAGCACCAGGCCCACUGGGCUCUUAAUCUGGCCCUGUC